RNAcentral lists this ribosomal RNA (433 nucleotides) under uncultured bacterium. Its description in RNAcentral is "partial 16S ribosomal RNA". It matches the Rfam family "Bacterial small subunit ribosomal RNA", at positions 29 to 507 of the family's 1533-position model. The record is from RNAcentral.
AACGAACGCUGGCGGCAUGCCUAACACAUGCAAGUCGAACGAGACCUUCGGGUCUAGUGGCGCACGGGUGCGUAACGCGUGGGGACCUGCCCUUAGGUUCGGAAUAACUCCCCGAAAGGGGUGCUAAUACCGGAUAAUGUCUUCGGACCAAAGAUUUAUCGCCUUUGGAUGGGCCCGCGUUGGAUUAGCUAGUUGGUAGGGUAAAAGCCUCCCAAGGCGACGAUCCAUAGCUGGUCUGAGAGGAUGAUCAGCCACACUGGGACUGAGACACGGCCCAGACUCCUACGGGAGGCAGCAGUGGGGAAUAUUGGACAAUGGGCGAAAGCCUGAUCCAGCAAUGCCGCGUGAGUGAUGAAGGCCUUAGGGUUGUAAAGCUCUUUUACCCGGGAUGAUAAUGACAGUACCGGGAGAAUAAGCUCCGGCUAACUCCGUG